Non-coding RNA from Paramuricea clavata, 95 nucleotides. NCBI's taxonomy places the organism in Eukaryota, Metazoa, Cnidaria, Anthozoa, Malacalcyonacea, Plexauridae. The record is from the annotation of a GenBank genome assembly.
ACUACGUGACCAUCCUCGUCCCCAGGCCCAAGCUCGGGCGGCCCCCACUGUGAGGGCCGCCCGAGCUUGGGCCUGGGGACGAGGAUGACUACGUG